UUGGCCAAAAAGUUCAUUCAGGAUUUUCCAUAAGAUGUUACGGAAAAACCUGAACGAAAUUUUUGACCAA
This is a microRNA precursor of Tursiops truncatus (common bottlenose dolphin), 70 nucleotides long. The record is from Ensembl. NCBI's taxonomy places the organism in Eukaryota, Metazoa, Chordata, Mammalia, Artiodactyla, Delphinidae.